GGGGGCCUGCGCAAGGAUCUUUG
This 23-nucleotide ribosomal RNA is filed under the name Gongora sp. SRR-2011. Its description in RNAcentral is "partial 18S ribosomal RNA". The record is from RNAcentral. Lineage: Eukaryota; Viridiplantae; Streptophyta; Magnoliopsida; Asparagales; Orchidaceae.